RNAcentral lists this ribosomal RNA (483 nucleotides) under uncultured bacterium. RNAcentral's name for it is "partial 16S ribosomal RNA". It matches the Rfam family "Bacterial small subunit ribosomal RNA", at positions 29 to 507 of the family's 1533-position model. The record is from RNAcentral.
GUGAACGCUGGCGGCAGGCCUCACACAUGCAAGUCGAGCGGCAGCGGGUCCUUCGGGAUGCCGGCGAGCGGCGGACGGGUGAGGAAUGCGUCGGAAUCUGCCUUUUUGUGGGGGAUAACGUAGGGAAACUUACGCUAAUACCGCAUACGACCUACGGGUGAAAGUGGGGGACCGCAAGGCCUCACGCAGAAAGAUGAGCCGACGUCGGAUUAGCUAGUUGGCGGGGUAAAGGCCCACCAAGGCGACGAUCCGUAGCUGGUCUGAGAGGAUGAUCAGCCACACUGGAACUGAGACACGGUCCAGACUCCUACGGGAGGCAGCAGUGGGGAAUAUUGGACAAUGGGCGCAAGCCUGAUCCAGCCAUGCCGCGUGUGUGAAGAAGGCCUUCGGGUUGUAAAGCACUUUUGUCCGGAAAGAAAUCCUGUCGGCUAAUACCCGGCGGGGAUGACGGUACCGGAAGAAUAAGCACCGGCUAACUUCGUG